CAUGUACGGCUGUCGAGUAAGUCAGAGGUGAAAUCCCACGGCUCAACCGUGGAACUGCCUUUGAUACUGCUCAACUUGAAUCCGGGAGAGGGUGGCGGAAUUCCAGGUGUAGGAGUGAAAUCCGUAGAUAUCUGGAGGAACAUCAGUGGCGAAGGCGGCCACCUGGACCGGUAUUGACGCUGAGAUGCGAAAGCGUGGGUAGCAAACA
Molecule: ribosomal RNA, 208 nt
Filed under: uncultured Pseudomonadota bacterium
Lineage: Bacteria; Pseudomonadati; Pseudomonadota
Description: uncultured proteobacterium partial 16S ribosomal RNA
Rfam family: Bacterial small subunit ribosomal RNA
Source: RNAcentral